RNAcentral lists this long non-coding RNA (205 nucleotides) under Nicotiana benthamiana. RNAcentral's name for it is "long non-coding RNA (NBEN_LNC030255)". The record is from RNAcentral. Lineage: Eukaryota; Viridiplantae; Streptophyta; Magnoliopsida; Solanales; Solanaceae.
UCCUCACCGGGGCAUCGGGACCCCUCCUCCGUACAUGCCCGAACCACCUCAGCCUCGCUUCCCGCAUCUUUUCGUCCACUGGGGCCACCCCUACCUUCUGUCGAAUAGCUUCAUUCUUGAUCUUAUCCAGCCUGGUGUGCCCACACAUCCACCUAAGCAUCCUCAUCUCCGCAACCUUCAUUCUCUGAACAUGCGAGUUCUNNNN